This 72-nucleotide transfer RNA is filed under the name Monodelphis domestica (gray short-tailed opossum). It matches the Rfam family "tRNA". From Rfam's summary of the family: Transfer RNA (tRNA) molecules are approximately 80 nucleotides in length. Lineage: Eukaryota; Metazoa; Chordata; Mammalia; Didelphimorphia; Didelphidae. The record is from Rfam by way of RNAcentral.
GACCAUGUGGUAUUAUGGAAAGAGCACUGGAUUUGGAGUCAGAGAAUGUGGGUUCAAAUCCCACCUCUGUCA